This 493-nucleotide ribosomal RNA is filed under the name uncultured bacterium. Its description in RNAcentral is "bacterial SSU rRNA". It matches the Rfam family "Bacterial small subunit ribosomal RNA", at positions 29 to 507 of the family's 1533-position model. The record is from RNAcentral.
AACGAACGCUGGCGGCAGGCUUCAUACAUGCAAGUCGAGCGGAAAGGCCCCUUCGGGGGUACUCGAGCGGCGAACGGGUGAGUAACAGGUGGGUAAUCUGCCUUUCGGAGGGGGAUAACGGCUGGAAACGGCCGCUAAUACCCCGUACGGUUGCGAAGCUCUCGGGCUUUGCAAAGAAAGGGGCCUUUAAAGCCCCGCCGAAAGAUGAGCCCGCCCCCCAUUAGCUAGUUGGCGGGGUAAUGGCCCACCAAGGCUGUGAUGGGUAGCCGAGCUGAGAGGUUGAUCGGCCACACUGGAACUGAGACACGGUCCAGACACCUACGGGUGGCAGCAGUAGGGAAUAUUGCGCAAUGGGCGAAAGCCUGACGCAGCCAUGCCGCGUGGAUGAUGAAGGCCUUCGGGUCGUAAAGUCCUUUUCUGAGGGAAGAACUGCCGGGGAGGAAAUGCCCUUGGCUUGACGGUACCUCAGGAAUAAGCAACGGCUAACUCCGUG